UGUCUUAACGGCUUUCGGCAACCGAUAUCUCGGUUUUCGAAUCGUUGAAGACCGUAGCGAAUUGCGUUAUUUGGUGUGAUUUGCAGAUUCCCGUGAACCAUCGAGUCUUUGAACGCAAGUUGCGCCCGAAGCCAUUAGGCCGAGGGCACGCCUGCCUGGGCGGCAAACG
Molecule: ribosomal RNA, 169 nt
Filed under: Rubus idaeus (red raspberry)
Lineage: Eukaryota; Viridiplantae; Streptophyta; Magnoliopsida; Rosales; Rosaceae
Description: 5.8S ribosomal RNA
Rfam family: 5.8S ribosomal RNA
About the family: 5.8S ribosomal RNA (5.8S rRNA) is a component of the large subunit of the eukaryotic ribosome.
Source: RNAcentral